This 361-nucleotide ribosomal RNA is filed under the name uncultured bacterium. RNAcentral's name for it is "partial 16S ribosomal RNA". It matches the Rfam family "Bacterial small subunit ribosomal RNA", at positions 338 to 716 of the family's 1533-position model. The record is from RNAcentral.
CCUACGGGAGGCAGCAGUGGGGAAGAGUGCACAAUGGGGGAAACCCUGAUGCAGCGACGCCGCGUGAGUGAAGAAGUAGUGCGGUAGGUAAAGCUCUAGCAGCAGGGAAGAAAAUGACGGUACCUGAUUAAGAAGCCCCGGCUAACGACGUGCCAGCAGCCGCGGUAAUACGUAGGGGGCAAGCGUUAUCCGGAUUUACUGGGGGUAAAGGGAGCGUAGACGGCAGCACAAGUCUGGAGUUAAAUGCCGGGGCUUAACCCCGGAACUGCUUUGGAAACGGUGCAGCUAGAGUGCAGGAGAGGUAAGUGCACUUCCUCUUGUAGCGGUGCACUUCUUAGCUCUUAGGCGGCACCCCAGUGGC